GCUCACUGGAGACAAAGAAAAUUAACAGGUAAUCAACUUAUUGAAAGAACCAACUAAAUACAACAAUGCCACUGACACACUCUAUAUAUAUUUAAAAUGUAUCUAACAGACAUGAAACAUUUCACAUUAUUAAGAUUUUGGAAAAUAAUAACAAUAAAAAUAUCUAUGCUAUAUAUAAAGAAAGGUUUUAUGCAAUUUAUAAAUAUAUUUCAUUCUUAUAAAUAAAAAAAUAUUGUAAAAAGUUUAAUGGAAGGUGACUGACUAGUAGCGCACGCGGCGCACAGCUGUGGGCGCACGAGCCAGUUUUGGUCUCGUGAGGUUUCUGACAGUAACGGUUAUUUUACCUCAGCUCCGCUAGUUUGUGGUCUGACAACACUUUUUGACGCCCUAUUCAUCUGGCAGCAUGUUCCCUAAAACGGCUUCAUCCCAGGGAGAGGAGGCUUGAGACGCUGACAGCGAGCACACCACACAUUUUCAAGAUCAGUUCAUGUUCACAGUUUAUUAUUGUUACAAUAAAGGUUUUUGCAUCAUCA
Molecule: long non-coding RNA, 533 nt
Organism: Astyanax mexicanus (Mexican tetra)
Lineage: Eukaryota; Metazoa; Chordata; Actinopteri; Characiformes; Acestrorhamphidae
Exons: 3
Source: RefSeq, a predicted model, not a curated record